This is a long non-coding RNA of Herpailurus yagouaroundi (jaguarundi), 3947 nucleotides long. RefSeq lists it as uncharacterized. NCBI's taxonomy places the organism in Eukaryota, Metazoa, Chordata, Mammalia, Carnivora, Felidae. The record is from RefSeq and is a predicted model, not a curated record. The transcript is spliced from 5 exons.
UGCCGGUAUUCCAGGGAAAAUCAAAUCCUCCCGGGUAGAAACGGCAUCUGUCCAAGUGAGUUUUCUGAGUCUGCUUUGACACACUUUGGGAAGCUCCGGGACAGAAAAUAUGGUUUUGAUUUCGUGGAGCAGGCGCAGACCCCCGAAACCUGGCCCACGUGGUCCGAGAGCUGGUCUCUCAGAUUCUCCCCCAGACACGGCGCGUCGCGGAGCGCGGCCCAGAGAGAGCUGAGCGGGAGCGUGCUGACAAGGGGCCUCUCUCCAGGGCCUGGAGCUCCUGUCGGAGGGCGCUGCCCGCUCUGGUCCCGGCCUCGGAGAGAGUCAGCCCUCUGAACAUGCACAGGCACUUGUCAAGGUCACGAGAAACUUGGGUGGGGUGGGGUGGGCACCCCGGCCAGUACAGCUCCCUUCUCUCAAACCCCACAGCCUGGCAGCAGGCUGGGCCUGGGACUGCCCGUGAGAGGGGGCGCUCCCUGGGUAAGAAGGCUUCCAGGGAGGAACAGGGAUGGAGGUGAGGCCCUCAUGAGCACCUGGGCUCGUUUCUUGUCUGGCCCGAGGUCAGAGGUGUGGGUCAUGCCCACCCGCGGUUGGGGGUCCCAAGCCCACCGGCAGGGAGAGUCUGGCCGUGGUGAGAGGUCACCUGCCGGUGGGAGGCUCCUGCUGACCGUCCCAGGCUGGGCUCUCGGAAGCUUGGGGCAGCACACGUGGGGAGGCCCACCAGCCUCCCAGCUCUGGGGGUGUGGGGAAAAGGCCCUCCUGGAGGUCCCUGGACGUCUACUCAGCUCCCUGGACCCCACGUUGGCAGACGACAACUUGAGAGGCCUCACCAGUCUCUGAAGCCUUGUGACCCAGGAGACCCCGGCUCCCCAGCGGCAGAACAGGAGGGACCCCUGCCCAGGCCCGGGAUCGGGGAGAUACCACGUGCUCAGCUUGGGGAGUGAGGCCCCCCCCAUCCCUCUGUUUGCUUGAAGCCCCUCGGCUGCUCACAGCUGCUGAUGGGCAGCUCCAUGCGCCUGGCAAGAGGCGCUGGGGUCAGCAGGAACAAGAACGAACCCGCUGCUGCUCUCGUGAGACUUGGCGAUGUGCAGGUGGGGCGACCGGGCCCCAUGUGGUCCCACCUGUUGUGGUGAUCGCCGACAGAGACCUGAGCUGCAGAGGAAAUAACCCGAUGGGUUCGUCGUUUGGGGCAGUCGAGGAAGGCUUCUCGAAGGAGGUGGCAAGUGAGCUGAGGAUGAGAGGUGCUGGCCGGGGAGUGGCAGAGAAGCUGUGGACCCCCGGGCCCAAGGGGCAGGGUCUCCAGGCAAUGGCUGGGUGCGUGGCGGGCCCACGGGGCACACGUGUCCUUCAUUUCACGGGCAUCUUCCGGGGGCCGCCCCGCCUCAGAGCGGGCCACCAGCACUCAUCACUCUAGCUUGCCUGCCUUUGGCUGCAAGGGACAGCGUUUUAAUCCCUCUCCUCCGGCUCUUCUGGGUCCAAGCCUCUCCUCACUCAAGCGGACCCCCUGGCCGCCCGCCCUGCACCUCCUUCCCUGUUGGCGCCCUUACCCUCGAGGGCCCCAGACAGGCAGCACACGAGUGCCUGUUUCUCAGGUGGGUAAACUGAGUCUGUGCCUUCCCUGAUGCACCCAGCCGGGGGCAGCCAGCAGGGACCACGGAAGCUGCUUCUAGCUGGGGCCCUUCCAUCCCUCUGACCCGGCGUCCAGGAGCGGCAGGAUGCAUCUUGCAAACCCGAGCUUCAGAAACUCGAAAUCAAGGAGGAUCUGGCUGGGGACUCUUGGGGGCUCCGUGGGCUGUUUUGUAACGACAGAGGGAGCGCCUCGCCCACACUCCGGAUCUGCCGCGCCCGCUGCCGCCCACGGACCCUGCGGAAUUAGCUCACAAAUGGGAGGAACAGGUGACGGGCGCCUGCUCUGGGGACGUCAGCCCUCCCAACUCACACCCGAGGCACCGAGCUGGCUGCGUCCCCGCUUUGCAAGAAAAUGACUUCCCUGCCAGAUGGGAGCAGGACGCCCACCUCCCCGCAGCUCCGGCGACAGAGCCCGCAGGAUCCCACACGGCAUGCAUUCCUGAAGCGGGGACGACAAGUGCUCCCAGUGCCCCAAUAAUUAACAAAAGGCCAUCGUCGCUGCCGUGCACCUGCUUCAGGACGUUUUCUUCCCAUGUGCUGAAUAGAGAGGAACAUUCCAGAAUGUGGAACUUGGGGCACCUGGACCUCGAGUCUGUGGACAGACAUUCUAGGGACGUAGCUUUCCACGUGGCAGAUGCACAUAACUCUGGACCGAUUCGGGGAGAAAUCUCCCAGAAGUGUUUUUCUCACUGCCCUGCCUUAAAAAACAAAAUCAAAACCCAAACAAAACUUUACGACUUCCCAUAAACGGAGUCUCGAAACGUCCUGUGUCUACGGGAGGCUCCACGUUGCCUCCACUCUCCUCACUGCUGAGUCGGAUCCCGAUGCGUGAAAGGUCAUGGUUCGUCGAUUUCACUUGAAGGGCAGUCUACAAGGAACAUUCCAGUUCUGCCCAUUUUGGAUGAGCGUAUACACGCCCGGGAGGAACCUGCAGCUUAUAGGCCACCUGAGUGCCAGCCCGUUUGGAAACUGCCCUGAAGGGCGAGGCCCAUGUCCUCUGCAGAGCUCCACACUCUCCCUCCCCCCUCUCAGCUUUGGCGACCCUAGCAGGUACCGCACCUUGUGCGGGAGAGUUUGACAAACACCUCAGCUGCUUCUUGGUACCUGAAGGUCACGUUCGUCAGCGUUAGCCACUGCCGCCUGACGGGGACGUCAUAACCCCGAGCUUCCUGCCACGCGGCUGCUCUGCCCGCCUCUGUCUGUGUGGUUCUAGUUCUUUGAGAGGAGCGGCACUGGACCCCAUCUGAAGCACGCACACCGUGGCGGCACCUUCGUGCGCUCACGGGUUUGCUCAUCCAGCAAACACUCACCGAGAGCCUGGCUGUGUCCAGGAUGGCCCAGGUCAUGGAUGCAAGUUAGGUCCAGCCACGGCCCUGACUUGGGGGGCACGCUGCCCAUGUGGGGCUGGGGUUGCCCUCCACUCGCUCCCCACCCACAGCACAGACAGGCGCGAACCGUGUGGAACGUUCCACACCCGUUUACCAGGUGACUACCAUUCCGGCUCUCUGUGACUGCCGGGGCCAGAACUGGAAAUGCCCGGGCAAAUUUUGUGUCAGUUGGGCACACUGCUCGCCAAGCCCUGGGACCCAGAGCUGUGAGGGGCUGCACCUGGGUCCAAGCCCACCAUCUCUGCCUGCCUGGCGCAUGGCUCAGACCUGCCCUCGCGGCCCCUCGGUGCUGCCGCUCGCUCAGGACCAGAGAGAAAGGAACUGGCCCCAGGGGUCCAGAUGGAUCCUGGGGGCUGAAUGAAGAGCGAAGGAUGAUGCUGUUUGCCAGGACCGACACUGGAUGAGGGCCGAGGUCACAGGUCGCUGCUCAAGGACAAGCCUCUAUGGGAACAUCUCACGAGAUGCAGCUUCCACAGGAAGCCUCCCUGGCAGCCCGCAGAGCAGGCUGGGUCCCUGUAUGGAUUCCCAGUCUCUGCACUUGUCCUAUGUGACCCUUUAUUGCUCUCCGGAUGGACCACGGAGGCCGGAGAGGCCAGUAACCUGCCCAAAGCUGAGCAUCCCGGGAAGCCCAAGCUCCAGGCAUCAGGCAGCGUGCGUCAGGGUUCCCACUGCCCGCUUCGCCUCUGGGGACUCGGGCCGGCCCGGCCCGCCCCGUGGGCCACAAUGGCAGCGCCCACAACGCCCGCACAGGGGCCGGCUGGUCGCGCAUACAAAGCACCCGGCCCGGCCAUUAUCAUUCCGGAGCCGAAGUCCACCCCAGCCCGCACCUCAUCGGUCAUUCAGCAGCCCUUAAUGACUUGUCAGUUCCUUGCCCUGCCAUUUUCUGUCUAAUUAAUUCUUUUAUUGUGCACCGGAUAAAGAAAGACAAAGGCC